UAAAUUAUGCACCAAAAAAAAUUCUAUAAAUAUCCUUUUUUAUUUUUUCUUUUUAACUUUCAAAAAUCUAUAUUUAUUCCUUCAAAAAAUUUUAAAAAUCUAUAUUUCUUCUAAACUUCAAAUAUUACUCAUGUGGUUUCGCACUUUCUCACUUUAGUAUUCUGUGGUUUAAAGUGUAUUAAUUUAGUACUAUGCGGUUUCGUUUCUCUCUUUUUUUCAGUCCCUUCAUUAACUUUUCGUUAAAUCAUAUACAAAAAAUUUCAGAUAUCCUACCUAUAAUUUAUCAAAUAUUCACUUUAGUACCCUUUAGUUUUAAAUUUAUCAUUGAUUUAACGAAAAAAAAUUAGUGAAGGGGAUAACAAAAAGAAAAAAAUAAAAUUACAGGAUACGAAAAUGAUACAUUUUAAACCAUAGGGUGCUAAAGUGAGAAAGUACGAAACCACAAGGGUGGUAUCUGAAGUUUUCUGAAAAGAAAUAUUGGGUAAUAUCAAAUACACCCGUCAAAACACCUUUCAGAACUUUAAAAACAUCUAAUACACCCUUAUGGGGCCAAAAUGUUUUUAUUGAUUUCCAAAAAUUUUUUAAAAUAUAUCCCUAAA
This 599-nucleotide long non-coding RNA is filed under the name Ananas comosus (pineapple). Its description in RNAcentral is "long non-coding RNA (ACOM_LNC020193)". The record is from RNAcentral. Lineage: Eukaryota; Viridiplantae; Streptophyta; Magnoliopsida; Poales; Bromeliaceae.